RNAcentral lists this ribosomal RNA (301 nucleotides) under uncultured bacterium. Its description in RNAcentral is "partial 16S ribosomal RNA". It matches the Rfam family "Bacterial small subunit ribosomal RNA", at positions 509 to 807 of the family's 1533-position model. The record is from RNAcentral.
CAGUCGCCGCGGUAAUACGUAGGACCCAAGCGUUAUCCGGAGUGACUGGGCGUAAAGAGUUGCGUAGGUGGUUUGUUAAGCGAAUAGUGAAAUCUGGCGGCUCAACCGUACAGACUAUUAUUCGAACUGGCAAACUCGAGAAUGGUAGAGGUAACUGGAAUUUCUGAAGUAGGGGUAAUAUCCGUAGAUAUCAGAAGGAACACCAAUGGCGUAGGCAGGUUACUGGACCAUUUCUGACACUGAGGCACGAAAGCGUGGGGAGCGAACCGGAUUAGAUACCCGCGUAGUCCCUGUCUCUUAU